This 2902-nucleotide ribosomal RNA is filed under the name Escherichia coli 2-156-04_S3_C1. RNAcentral describes it as "bacterial LSU rRNA". It matches the Rfam family "Bacterial large subunit ribosomal RNA". The record is from RNAcentral. Lineage: Bacteria; Pseudomonadati; Pseudomonadota; Gammaproteobacteria; Enterobacterales; Enterobacteriaceae.
UUAAGCGACUAAGCGUACACGGUGGAUGCCCUGGCAGUCAGAGGCGAUGAAGGACGUGCUAAUCUGCGAUAAGCGUCGGUAAGGUGAUAUGAACCGUUAUAACCGGCGAUUUCCGAAUGGGGAAACCCAGUGUGAUUCGUCACACUAUCAUUAACUGAAUCCAUAGGUUAAUGAGGCGAACCGGGGGAACUGAAACAUCUAAGUACCCCGAGGAAAAGAAAUCAACCGAGAUUCCCCCAGUAGCGGCGAGCGAACGGGGAGCAGCCCAGAGCCUGAAUCAGUGUGUGUGUUAGUGGAAGCGUCUGGAAAGGCGCGCGAUACAGGGUGACAGCCCCGUACACAAAAAUGCACAUGCUGUGAGCUCGAUGAGUAGGGCGGGACACGUGGUAUCCUGUCUGAAUAUGGGGGGACCAUCCUCCAAGGCUAAAUACUCCUGACUGACCGAUAGUGAACCAGUACCGUGAGGGAAAGGCGAAAAGAACCCCGGCGAGGGGAGUGAAAAAGAACCUGAAACCGUGUACGUACAAGCAGUGGGAGCACGCUUAGGCGUGUGACUGCGUACCUUUUGUAUAAUGGGUCAGCGACUUAUAUUCUGUAGCAAGGUUAACCGAAUAGGGGAGCCGAAGGGAAACCGAGUCUUAACUGGGCGUUAAGUUGCAGGGUAUAGACCCGAAACCCGGUGAUCUAGCCAUGGGCAGGUUGAAGGUUGGGUAACACUAACUGGAGGACCGAACCGACUAAUGUUGAAAAAUUAGCGGAUGACUUGUGGCUGGGGGUGAAAGGCCAAUCAAACCGGGAGAUAGCUGGUUCUCCCCGAAAGCUAUUUAGGUAGCGCCUCGUGAAUUCAUCUCCGGGGGUAGAGCACUGUUUCGGCAAGGGGGUCAUCCCGACUUACCAACCCGAUGCAAACUGCGAAUACCGGAGAAUGUUAUCACGGGAGACACACGGCGGGUGCUAACGUCCGUCGUGAAGAGGGAAACAACCCAGACCGCCAGCUAAGGUCCCAAAGUCAUGGUUAAGUGGGAAACGAUGUGGGAAGGCCCAGACAGCCAGGAUGUUGGCUUAGAAGCAGCCAUCAUUUAAAGAAAGCGUAAUAGCUCACUGGUCGAGUCGGCCUGCGCGGAAGAUGUAACGGGGCUAAACCAUGCACCGAAGCUGCGGCAGCGACGCUUAUGCGUUGUUGGGUAGGGGAGCGUUCUGUAAGCCUGUGAAGGUGUACUGUGAGGUAUGCUGGAGGUAUCAGAAGUGCGAAUGCUGACAUAAGUAACGAUAAAGCGGGUGAAAAGCCCGCUCGCCGGAAGACCAAGGGUUCCUGUCCAACGUUAAUCGGGGCAGGGUGAGUCGACCCCUAAGGCGAGGCCGAAAGGCGUAGUCGAUGGGAAACAGGUUAAUAUUCCUGUACUUGGUGUUACUGCGAAGGGGGGACGGAGAAGGCUAUGUUGGCCGGGCGACGGUUGUCCCGGUUUAAGCGUGUAGGCUGGUUUUCCAGGCAAAUCCGGAAAAUCAAGGCUGAGGCGUGAUGACGAGGCACUACGGUGCUGAAGCAACAAAUGCCCUGCUUCCAGGAAAAGCCUCUAAGCAUCAGGUAACAUCAAAUCGUACCCCAAACCGACACAGGUGGUCAGGUAGAGAAUACCAAGGCGCUUGAGAGAACUCGGGUGAAGGAACUAGGCAAAAUGGUGCCGUAACUUCGGGAGAAGGCACGCUGAUAUGUAGGUGAAGUCCCUCGCGGAUGGAGCUGAAAUCAGUCGAAGAUACCAGCUGGCUGCAACUGUUUAUUAAAAACACAGCACUGUGCAAACACGAAAGUGGACGUAUACGGUGUGACGCCUGCCCGGUGCCGGAAGGUUAAUUGAUGGGGUUAGCGCAAGCGAAGCUCUUGAUCGAAGCCCCGGUAAACGGCGGCCGUAACUAUAACGGUCCUAAGGUAGCGAAAUUCCUUGUCGGGUAAGUUCCGACCUGCACGAAUGGCGUAAUGAUGGCCAGGCUGUCUCCACCCGAGACUCAGUGAAAUUGAACUCGCUGUGAAGAUGCAGUGUACCCGCGGCAAGACGGAAAGACCCCGUGAACCUUUACUAUAGCUUGACACUGAACAUUGAGCCUUGAUGUGUAGGAUAGGUGGGAGGCUUUGAAGUGUGGACGCCAGUCUGCAUGGAGCCGACCUUGAAAUACCACCCUUUAAUGUUUGAUGUUCUAACGUGGACCCGUAAUCCGGGUUGCGGACAGUGUCUGGUGGGUAGUUUGACUGGGGCGGUCUCCUCCUAAAGAGUAACGGAGGAGCACGAAGGUUGGCUAAUCCUGGUCGGACAUCAGGAGGUUAGUGCAAUGGCAUAAGCCAGCUUGACUGCGAGCGUGACGGCGCGAGCAGGUGCGAAAGCAGGUCAUAGUGAUCCGGUGGUUCUGAAUGGAAGGGCCAUCGCUCAACGGAUAAAAGGUACUCCGGGGAUAACAGGCUGAUACCGCCCAAGAGUUCAUAUCGACGGCGGUGUUUGGCACCUCGAUGUCGGCUCAUCACAUCCUGGGGCUGAAGUAGGUCCCAAGGGUAUGGCUGUUCGCCAUUUAAAGUGGUACGCGAGCUGGGUUUAGAACGUCGUGAGACAGUUCGGUCCCUAUCUGCCGUGGGCGCUGGAGAAUUGAGGGGGGCUGCUCCUAGUACGAGAGGACCGGAGUGGACGCAUCACUGGUGUUCGGGUUGUCAUGCCAAUGGCACUGCCCGGUAGCUAAAUGCGGAAGAGAUAAGUGCUGAAAGCAUCUAAGCACGAAACUUGCCCCGAGAUGAGUUCUCCCUGACUCCUUGAGAGUCCUGAAGGAACGUUGAAGACGACGACGUUGAUAGGCCGGAUGUGUAAGCGCAGCGAUGCGUUGAGCUAACCGGUACUAAUGAACCGUGAGGCUUAACCUU